UGUUGAGGGUCAGCGUGGUGCAUGUGUUGUUGCCUACUCUCACCACCUAGGUGUGGCCCGUCAGGAAGUCCAGGAUCCAGUUGCAGAGGGACUUGUUCAGUCCCAGGGUCUUGAGCUUAGUAAUGAGCUUGGAAGGCACUAUAGUGUUGAACGUUGAGCUGUAGUCAAUCAAUAGCAUUCUCACAUAGGUGUUCCUCUUGUCCAGGUGGGAGAGGGCAUUGUGGAGUGCAAUGGAGAUUGCAUCAUCUGUGGAUCUGUUGGGGCGGUAUGCAAAUUAGAGUGGGUAAAGGGUGUCUGGGAUGAUGGUGUUGAUAUGAUCCAUGACCAGCCUUUCAAAGCAUUUCAAAGCUACAGAUGUGAGUGCUUCUCCAUCAGUACCUCUUUGGUCGAUAUCUGACAUUUUGAUGUCCAAGUUCUCCUAUUAUACAAUGGCUCAUCCAAGGGUAGGAGAAACCAUUGUCCUUAUCAACCCCAUAGUGUCUGUCAUUCAUGCAUGCUGACAAGAAGGGUGAAGACAAAGGUAACAACCUCUCCCCUGGGCCAGCCUGACAGAUUUCUGACAUCACAUCACAUUACCACUGGAUGCUUUCCUUUCAAAACAUUAGCUUGUUCUCAAUAAAAUACCUCAGAGGGACCAUGUGUUUUUAGUAUGCGUAAAGAGGUCAUGUGCAGGUUAAGUGUGCAUCUGAAGUUUACACCUGGGAGACACAUUGAGAGGUGUUAUUUUAGGUCUUAUUUGAAGAGCUAGCUCUGCAAGUAUUAGGUCCCAGCUCCACACAGAAUCUCGGUUGAAGCCUCUGGUCGAAUGCACUCAUGUCUCGGGCUUAUUUCCCUAGUGGUCCCCUGAGGUAAACCAUAUCCUCCUCUUCCCCUCUCUCUAGUGACAGAUAAAGCCUUGUUGUUACGCCCUGACCUUAGAGAUCCCUUUAAUUCUCUAUUUGGUUAGGUCCGGGUGUGACUAGGUUGGGCAAUCUAUGUUUUCUAUUUCUUUGUUGGCCUGGUAUGGUUCCCAAUCAGAGGCAGCUGUUUAUUGUUGUCUCUGAUUGGGGAUCAUAUUUAGGCAGCCUUUUCCCACCUGUUGUUUGUGGGAUCUUGUUUUUGUGUAGCUGCCUGUGAGCAACCGAGACUGCCACGGUUCGUUUUUGUCUGUAUUGGUUUUGGCAAAAGAAGCAGGACAGAAGCCCAUCCCGCCUCCAGAGCCAGUCCUGCCUAGCAGCAUGGCCAUUGGUUCAGUGUCCAUGGCUGUGACCAAGAUUGGGGCUCUACUGCAAGUACAUCACAGUUCUGAGGAACAAACAGGUCGUAGGCCUGGGAGUUGUGUAUGUCAAACUGGGAGGUCUGAGUCGUGGAGAGCGGCUGACUAAAUACAACCGUCUGAUUUCUAUAGAGGAAGAAUUGGCCCAGCAGGGAAUACUGGGUAUGGCUUUUUCCUCUCGCCUUUUCAGCCAGUAGAAAGAGGGGGCUAGACAAAGCUAUGGGUAGGAGAGGCAGUAAUGGCUGGGAUGGUGAGAAUACAUUUCUCCCUGGACGUGAAAGGAAACUGUGUGUCAGGAAUCAUGAAGAGGGGGAAAAGGAGCUGGCGAAAACCCUACCUUGGUUCUGUUAAUUGGCCACCUAAUUACGCCUCCCAAAAAAGGGACAGGGAUAUUGGGCAAUUACUGAAAAGCGAGUUCAUCUUUGUAUAAAAUAAAGAAUUAACUUCUGCACCAAUUGCAUAUACAGGACUCUUGUAUAUCGUUUGGCUCUGGCUAUGUGGAAUAUAUAUAUUUUUAGUGCUGUCACAGCAGUAGAAAUCAUCGGACCUAGAAUAG
Molecule: long non-coding RNA, 1811 nt
Organism: Oncorhynchus keta (chum salmon)
Lineage: Eukaryota; Metazoa; Chordata; Actinopteri; Salmoniformes; Salmonidae
Exons: 3
Source: RefSeq, a predicted model, not a curated record